UACGGAGGAUCCGAGCGUUAUCCGGGUUUAUUGGGUUUAAGGGGUGCGUAGGCGGUUUGAUAAGUUAGAGGUGAAAUGUCGGGGCUCAACCCCGAAACUGCCUCUAAUACUGUUGGACUAGAGAAUAGUUGCGGUAGGCGGAAUGUAUGGUGUAGCGGUGAAAUGCUUAGAGAUCAUACAGAACACCGAUUGCGAAGGCAGCUUACCAAACUAUAUCUGACGUUGAGGCACGAAAGCGUGGGUAGCAAACAGG
RNAcentral lists this ribosomal RNA (253 nucleotides) under uncultured bacterium. RNAcentral describes it as "partial 16S ribosomal RNA". It matches the Rfam family "Bacterial small subunit ribosomal RNA", at positions 524 to 776 of the family's 1533-position model. The record is from RNAcentral.